This is a non-coding RNA of Oryctolagus cuniculus (rabbit), 467 nucleotides long. Lineage: Eukaryota; Metazoa; Chordata; Mammalia; Lagomorpha; Leporidae. The record is from RefSeq and is a predicted model, not a curated record.
CAGCUCAUUCCAUUUCCUCUUCCAUGAUGCGCUUGUGCAGGCUCCUGGGCAGCAGCCAUGAAAGGGUAAUGACCCUUAGGGACUGCAGGCCUGAAAAAUGAAACUUCCCAGCUAUGAAGACAGGAAGAGUUUCAGCAUGCUGGAUGGAAAUAAGACAAGCUCCCCCCAAGCAGGUUUCAGAAUGAAAAGGAGUUCAUAGGCUUGUCACCGGAAAGCCCUGGGCAGGCUAGGGCAUCAAGCUCAGCUUCCCCCCAGGGUCCGGGAGGCAUCAGCGCUUUGGAUCCGUUUUCUUCUUCUCCUGGUUCGUCAACUCUUCAUCAGACCCCAACCCCCGUGUGCCUGUGCCACUAUGGAAGCUGUGACUCUCCCUCCCUCCUCCCCUGGCCCAGGCUCAGGGAUCCGUCACUCUAUGCUCUACUUCUAUGAUGUCAGCCCUUCUGUGAUCCCCACACAGGGGAGAUGGCCCA